CCUACGGGAGGCAGCAGUGGGGAAUAUUGGACAAUGGGGGGAACCCUGAUCCAGCGACGCCGCGUGAGUGAAGAAGUAUUUCGGUAUGUAAAGCUCUAUCAGCAGGGAAGAAACUGACGGUACCUGACUAAGAAGCCCCGGCAAACUACGUGCCAGCAGCCGCGGAAAUACGGGGGAUGCGAGCGUUAUCCGGAUUUAUGGGGGUAAAAGGGUGCGUAGGCGGACUGUUAAGUCCACGGUAAAAGCCCGGGGCUAAACCCCGGCGAGCCGUUGAAACUGGCUGCCUUGAGAUGUCGAGAGGUAUGCGGAAUGCGCAGUGUAGCGGUGAAAUGCGUAGAUAUUACGAAGAACUCCAAUUGCGAAGGCAGCUUACCGGAGGCGAUCUGACGCUGAGGCACGAAAGCGUGGGUAUCGAACAGGAUUAGAUACCCGAGUAGUC
RNAcentral lists this ribosomal RNA (439 nucleotides) under uncultured bacterium. RNAcentral's name for it is "partial 16S ribosomal RNA". It matches the Rfam family "Bacterial small subunit ribosomal RNA", at positions 338 to 795 of the family's 1533-position model. The record is from RNAcentral.